This 443-nucleotide ribosomal RNA is filed under the name uncultured bacterium. Its description in RNAcentral is "partial 16S ribosomal RNA". It matches the Rfam family "Bacterial small subunit ribosomal RNA", at positions 338 to 795 of the family's 1533-position model. The record is from RNAcentral.
CCUACGUGAGGCAGCAGUGGGGAAUAUUGGGCAAUGGGCGCAAGCCUGACCCAGCAACGCCGCGUGAAGGCAGAAGGCUUUCGGGUUGUACACUUCUUUUGUCAGGGACGAAGCAAGUGACGGUACCUGACGAAUAAGCCACGGCUAACUACGUGCCAGCAGCCGCGGUAAUACGUAGGUGGCAAGCGUUAUCCGGAUUUACUGGGUGUAAAGGGCGUGUAGGCGGGGAAGCAAGUCAGAUGUGAAAACCACGGGCUCAACCUGUGGCCUGCAUUUGAAACUGUUUUUCUUGAGUGCUGGAGAGGUAAGUGGAAUUCCUAGUGUAGCGGUGAAAUGCGUAGAUAUUAGGAGGAACACCAGUGGCGAAGGCGGCUUACUGGACUGUAACUGACGUUGAGGCUCGAAAGCGUGGGGAGCAAACAGGAUUAGAUACCCUUGUAGUC